AGGUUUCGGAGUUGGGUUGGUACAAAGAGGAGAAGGAGGCUAGGUCUCCAGAUGCAUUCAUUUUUUGAGGCCUCAUCUCUUCCCAUGGGCCACUGCUACCGUGUUCUAGUGUCCUGCUCUGCUGGGCCAGUGCCGCUCGAAGGAUGGAAGGGCUGGGCAGACCUGGUUCCUUGGUUGCUGGGCAAAGCAGCUGAAUCAGCAGAAAUGGCAGGGCUGGCAUCUGUCCAGAAAGGAAUAAACACACCAGCUACUCCUUCCUGGGAUUGUUCUACACUGAGGCUGUUGGAGGAGGAGGAGAAAAUGGCCUCCACUUCUGGACAAUGUGCAGAGAACCUAGAGAGUGUUGCUUCCACUCCUGGUGGUUCUCUCUCUGGCCUCGGCUGACUCUGGACCUGCAGUGAAGCUGAGGGGGUGUCUGUCUAAGGGAGUGCUGGUUUGCCACAAAACUCCAUCGUAACUGAAAGAGGAAAUCUUCUACAAAUUCCAGAAAGCUUGGGGAGAAACAAUCCGACGGCACAAGUUCAAGUGCCCAACGGGGUGGAGAAGGGACUGCAUACUCAUUGGUUGCCAGGCCGAGGUUGUCCGCCUUGCCUGCUUUGGCUGAGACUGGAGACGGAAACUCCAUUCAACAGCGACUGGAGGACUGAAACGGCGCAAGAGGGCGGCUGCCCUUCACCUACUGGUCCCUCCCUGCCUUGGCGCCUUCGGAGUUCGGACUGACCCGGGAUGUUGCUGGAGCCGGCAGGAACUGCAAACUCACCGCGCGCGUCCCUGCACACCCGCACCUGCGCCUCGAGAACUCCUGGCCAGUUGAAUACCCGGUCUGCCGCCGAGCUUCGCUGCAGGUCACAGGAAAGGGGUGCAGGGUUGCGUACCCGGCGGGAGAAGCCGCGCGGAGAGGACCAGGUGCUGCUACUGGCCUCCGAGAAGACAGGCCUAGAGUAGCUGAUUUUGACCUGCAGGGCCAAAGUCUAACGGCGGCCUAAAACCCUAACGUCUGGGCGAGCCGCGGGUAGCGAGUUGAAGCGAUCUCUAUGCCUUGCUUGUCGUUUGCCAAAAUUCAGACCAAGAAAGAGAAUAGUUGUGUGGAUCAAAGUCUGCAAUUAACCAAAAAAGAAACAUGAUCCUGUGUUAGCUUACUUAGGAAAAAAGGAAGAAGGAAGGAAAGAAGGAAGGAAGGGAGGAAAGGUUGGAGGGAGGGAAGAAAGAUGAAAAAAUCAACCAAAAAAAGAACAUAAUUUCCUAACUAAUCGGAUGUGGGUCAUGAGAGAAAGACCUGCGUCCAGUUUUUGGCCUGAACGUGUGGAGGGUGGAGUUGCCAUUAACUAACGUGAGAAAAGGCAGGUGUAGUACGUUGUAGAGAAAAUAUCCGGAAUUCCGUUCAGGGCCCUGGGGUCUUCCUUGAAAGAGUUUUCCAUCCAGGCCGUCUCGGUUUCCGCAUCCGUCUGAGUCGUUUAUGAUGUCGGGAAUGCAGGAAUCUGAGUCCUUUAUGAUGUUGAGGGUGCCACGGUCUCACCCCGGGCGCCUCCCCGCUCCAGCCUCCUCCCGGAAGCCUGGUGCGCUCUGGCCCCGCCGACCAGCGACAGUCUCUCCACGCGCUGCCGCCUAGCAAAGGCGCAUCUUUAGGUCGGUAGUGAGGUGCGGCCGGGACGCUGCAACUCGCUCCGGGACUUGUAAACCUGGCAGGUGUUCGAGGAGCGCCACUGGCUGGAAGGAAAGGAGAGAGCUCUGCACGUCGCGUGUGGGCUCGCAACUUGGAGAAAGCAGGGAGAGGACAGCCUUUUGGGACUAUUCCUUGGAUGGGCGGGUGGCACCAGGAAGGGUAGAUGGAGCUUUCUAGAGGUCAAUGUCAGCGUAAUUUCUGCUGAAGCAAUUGAAGGAGGAAAAAAAAAAAGUAUGUGCUUUGUGGUUCCCUGGUAGUCUAGUGGCUAAAGUUUGGCGCUCUCACCGCCGGGACUGGUUGAUUCCAGAUCAGGGGACUGGGUCUCAGCCUCACUGUGAGGUAUUGUUCUUUCCUGUGUUUGCCAUCUACCACCGCUGUGGCUCAAUUAUUUCAAGACUGCUGGAGAAAUGGAAUUAAUGUCGAUCCUAACAUUUAAGCUAUUUAUCUAGGAUAAAUUCCAAAUAGUGGAACUGCUAGGUGAAAUUUAUUGUGAAUUUAAGAUUCCGAUGUAUACAGCCCUACAACGUAUAAGCACCAAUUACAUUCCCCAAAGUGUGUGAGACUGCGUCUUUUCCCCAGAAUUUAAAACCAAUGCUAGAAAUUAUCAGUCUUUUAGAGAUAAUUUUAAGCUUAUUUAUCAUCAAAGGAUUUCUUCAUAGUCAAUUUCCCCUUAGACUAUAAAUCCGCAAGAGAUGGCAAAGCUGGAAGAACUGCCUAGAAUUUCAGCAAACUUGAAUUCAAUAGUCUCUCUGUUCUUUCCUGUUUUGGCACCUACCCUUUUCUUCCAGUUAAGAUUGGACACAAUAGAAAAAUAAUUAAUAAAUGUAAUAAAAAUGUAAGCCUGGACGUUUUGCUCACAGUGUUCUCACUGGGUCUAAAUUUUGUGAAUGUGGUUCCUUGGAUGGUCUCAUGGGUAUGCUUGAGACUUUAGGCCCUUGGGACACCUGGUGCACAGAAGGGUCCCAAAACCCAUCUUUGGAAGUGUUGGCAGAGUAAAUAGGCACCAGUAAUAAAGGCAACGGCGCCUGAAUACGUAAGGCUGGUUUAAACCAAAGCAGAUUUUUCAAAACCAGAGAGGGCU
RNAcentral lists this long non-coding RNA (2744 nucleotides) under Homo sapiens (human). Its description in RNAcentral is "HSALNT0014777". The record is from RNAcentral. Lineage: Eukaryota; Metazoa; Chordata; Mammalia; Primates; Hominidae.